GAAUAUUGGACAAUGGGCGAAAGCCUGAUCCAGCAAUGCCGCGUGAGUGAUGAAGGCCUUAGGGUUGUAAAGCUCUUUCGGCGGGGAAGAUGAUGACGGUACCCACAGAAGAAGCCCCGGCUAACUUCGUGCCCGCAGCCGCGGUAAUACGAAGGGGGCUAGCGUUGUUCGGAUUUACUGGGCGUAAAGCGCACGUAGGCGGAUCGUUAAGUCGGGGGUGAAAUCCUGGAGCUCAACUCCAGAACUGCCUUCGAUACUGGCGAUCUAGAGUCCGGAAGAGGUGAGUGGAACUCCUAGUGUAGAGGUGGAAUUCGUAGAUAUUAGGAAGAACACCAGUGGCGAAGGCGGCUCACUGGUCCGGUACUGACGCUGAGGUGCGAAAGCGUGGGGAGCAAACAGGA
Molecule: ribosomal RNA, 401 nt
Filed under: uncultured bacterium
Lineage: Bacteria
Description: bacterial SSU rRNA
Rfam family: Bacterial small subunit ribosomal RNA
Source: RNAcentral